ACGCCGGCGGCGUGCCUAACACAUGCAAGUCAACUUGACUGAAGGAGCAAUCUGACAGUAGAGUGGCGCAAGGGUGCGUAACGCGUAAGUAACUUGCCCCAAGGUAAGGAAUAACGUCGAGAAAUCGGCGCUAAUACCUCAUAAUGCAGCGGAUCCGCAUGGAUAUGUUGUUAAAGGUUUACCGCCUUGGGAUAGGCUUGCGUCUGAUUAGCUAGUUGGUGUGGUAACGGCACACCAAGGCUACGAUCAGUAACUGGUCUGAGAGGAUGAUCAGUCACACUGGAACUGAGACACGGUCCAGACUCCUACGGGAGGCAGCAGUGAGGAAUAUUGGGCAAUGCUCGAAAGAGUGACCCAGCAACGCCGCGUGGAGGAUGAAGGUAUUCUAUAUCGUAAACUCCUGUGAGAGCAGACGAAAGACAGAUUAUUAAUCUGGAUGACUGUAUGCUCAGAGGAAGCCCCGGCUAACUACGUG
Molecule: ribosomal RNA, 475 nt
Filed under: uncultured bacterium
Lineage: Bacteria
Description: bacterial SSU rRNA
Rfam family: Bacterial small subunit ribosomal RNA
Source: RNAcentral